This is a long non-coding RNA of Ipomoea triloba (trilobed morning glory), 757 nucleotides long. RefSeq lists it as uncharacterized. The record is from RefSeq and is a predicted model, not a curated record. Lineage: Eukaryota; Viridiplantae; Streptophyta; Magnoliopsida; Solanales; Convolvulaceae. The transcript has 3 exons.
AUUGGAGCAUUUCUUCUCAGCCUAUUGCAAAAUUCUCUCAUUUUCCCUUCACUCUUCUGCGCAAUUCUCUCAUUUUUCCUCGUCGUAGUCGGAUGCUCUCCUCGCAGCUCUCCAUUCUUUGAGAUUGCAUAGAUGGAUAAUGAACCAUUUUCCUGCCCAUUUUCUGGAAAACAAACCAAACACACAAAGAUGGAUUUCUACUCUGCAGCCAAACACAAGAAAGGAAAAUGUUUUCUGGAAAUCAUUUUCCUGCUUUCCAAACACACCCUAAGAGGAAAAGAGACUGGAUUAGAUGAGUGGUGGGAUUUAAAAGUUAAGGAAAAUUCAAAAUUUGAGGCAUUUCGAGAAGAAGAAUUUGAUAUUGAACUAGAAUGUAAGAUGGAUCAAAUUUUUGAAUUUUGUGCCCAAGGAGUACUUAAGUAUACUCCAACUCCCAUGGAUGAGAAUGAUGGUGUUAGCAGAUGGCAUGAUGCAACUUAUUAAUAUUAUAUCGUUAUAGACUUGUGUCUUAAGUGCUAGGUGACUGGCCAAAUGUUUUGCUCCAUUCACAUGGGUGGGGAUUGAACCCCAACCUCAUGCUUAAGGGACGAGGUGUUGAACCACCACGUUAACCAUGUUGGUUAUAAUGCUAAUUUUUGUAUACAUAUACAUAUAUUUUGUAUAUUUGUUUGUGUGUAGGUAUGGACAAUAUUGAUAGGCAAAUUAGGAAAAUUCUCCUAAUUAAUGAGUACUUGGAAGAUGAAGAUGACUUUUGGGA